This is a long non-coding RNA of Cebus imitator (Panamanian white-faced capuchin), 679 nucleotides long. RefSeq lists it as uncharacterized. The transcript is spliced from 2 exons. The record is from RefSeq and is a predicted model, not a curated record. NCBI's taxonomy places the organism in Eukaryota, Metazoa, Chordata, Mammalia, Primates, Cebidae.
CCAAGAAGGACCAAGAUGUCACCAAUCAAUACAUCACUCCCUGCAGGAAGACAAGGCACAGAAGCAAAACACUGUCAACAGAACAAAAGUGAAAACAUGAACAAAAUUCUGCUGUGAUUAAAGCACAAACAUGUGACACCAUCUUACCUGAACUGUCUUCCCUCCCUGCGAGUAUGUCUGCUCCAACCAUGGUUCCUACACCCAACAGACAGACAGCCACAGCGAUGAAGUGGAUCACUCUGUAUCUCGCAUUAAGAAUAAACCAGGACAGAGCCAUCAACACAGGAAUCCCAAAGCAAUCCAAAAGCUGCAUGGAAAGAGAACAGUUUAAAACCUCUCUCAUUAGCUAAAAUAUGGGUAAUUAAGAAAUAAUAGGACUCAGUAUUCAUUGAGCAUUUAUUAUUGCCAGCCCUCUACUAAGAGCUUUACCUGCAUUAACUCAUUUGAUCCUCACAACUCUAUGAGAGUGAAAUUACAAUCUAAUUUUAUACAUGAAAAAAUGAAGGCAUAGAGAGGUGAAAUGAGUUGCCAAAAUCACAUAGUUAAAAAUGGGAUGACAGCUGGGCAUGGUGGCUCAUGCCUGUAAAAUCUCAGUACUUUAAGAGGUUGUGGCAGGCAGAUUGCCUGAGCCCAGGAGUUCAAGAUCAGCCUGGGCAACAUGGUGAAACUCUGUCUCUAC